Molecule: ribosomal RNA, 774 nt
Filed under: uncultured Neocallimastigales
Lineage: Eukaryota; Fungi; Neocallimastigomycota; Neocallimastigomycetes; Neocallimastigales
Description: partial large subunit ribosomal RNA
Rfam family: Eukaryotic large subunit ribosomal RNA
Source: RNAcentral
UAUGUGAUCGUCUCUUGCAUAUCAAUAAGCGGAGGAAAAGAAACUAACAAGGAUUCCCCUAGUAACGGCGAGUGAAGCGGGAAGAGCUCAAAUUUGAAAUCUUAAAGGGUUUCCCUUUACGAAUUGUAGUUUAAAGAAGUGUUUUCUGUUGAGGUUUUGGUAAAAGUUCUUUGGAAUAGGACAUCAUAGAGGGUGAGAAUCCCGUAUUUGACCUUUACUUUCAACUUUGUGAUACACUUUCAAAGAGUCGGAUUGUUUGGGAAUGCAGUCCAAAAUGGGUGGUAGAUUUCAUCUAAAGCUAAAUAUUGGCGAGAGACCGAUAGCGAACAAGUACCGUGAGGGAAGGAUGAAAAGAACUUUGAAAAGAGAGUUAAACAGUACGUGAAAUUGUCAAAAGGGAAGCGUUUGACACCAGUGUUGUUUUUCUGAAAAUCAGUUAAAGAACUGUUUAUGCUAAGCUGUUUAGACUUUAUCAGCUAUCUGUUUAGUUUUGAGCUUUUCUUUAAUGCACUUUUCAGUUAACAAGUCAACAUCAAUUUCUUUUGCUGUAAAAAAGCUUGAGGAAGGUGGCUUGAGAUUCGUCUUAAGUGUUUAUAGCCUCUUGCCUAUGCAGUCGGAGAGAUUGAGGUCUGCAGCGUAGAUCCUUCGGGGCUAAAUGCAUUUGUGCUAAGUUAUAGCAUUUUAUAGACAACUUGUUGACUAUGAUUUGUCUUGUAGCUUACUCGCUUAUGUUAUUUUACCUACGCUUAGGAUGUUGAGCGCAUGUCUCUCUCU